AGUGAACGCUGGCGGUAGGCCUAACACAUGCAAGUCGAACGGCAGCACAGUAAGAGCUUGCUCUUACGGGUGGCGAGUGGCGGACGGGUGAGGAAUACAUCGGAAUCUACUUUUUCGUGGGGGAUAACGUAGGGAAGCUUACGCUAAUACCGCAUACGUCCUACGGGUGAAAGCAGGGGAUCUUCGGACCUUGCGCGAUUGAAUGAGCCGAUGUCGGAUUAGCUAGUUGGCGGGGUAAAGGCCCACCAAGGCGACGAUCCGUAGCUGGUCUGAGAGGAUGAUCAGCCACACUGGAACUGAGACACGGUCCAGACUCCUACGGGAGGCAGCAGUGGGGAAUAUUGGACAAUGGGCGCAAGCCUGAUCCAGCCAUACCGCGUGGGUGAAGAAGGCCUUCGGGUUGUAAAGCCCUUUUGUUGGGAAAGAAAAGCAGCAGGUUAAUACCCCGCUGUUCUGACGGUACCCAAAGAAUAAGCACCGGCUAACUUCGUG
Molecule: ribosomal RNA, 492 nt
Filed under: uncultured bacterium
Lineage: Bacteria
Description: partial 16S ribosomal RNA
Rfam family: Bacterial small subunit ribosomal RNA
Source: RNAcentral